Molecule: ribosomal RNA, 576 nt
Filed under: Triticum aestivum (bread wheat)
Lineage: Eukaryota; Viridiplantae; Streptophyta; Magnoliopsida; Poales; Poaceae
Description: partial small subunit ribosomal RNA
Source: RNAcentral
AUGAUACCUCGGCCUGAUGAAAGCGUAACUAGCUUCACUGGGAAAUGCAUCUGGGAAGUUUUUGCACCUGGGCAAAUGAUGGAGGGUGAUGUAAUGGACUUCCUCAUUGACAAUUGGAAGAAAGAUCCCGAGAGAAAUGCUGAUUUUGCUUCUGGAAAAAGGGUAUUGCUGAGUUCAUAUUUCAUCACGGUUGUGUUUGACUGGACGUUUUAUGGUGAUGGAAAUAAAGAGUUUAAUGUAGAAAGUGUAGCGAGAAAUUUCAUGAGCUAUGUUAAAUAUAAUGAAGACUUGCUCAGUGUCGACCUUAUAUGUAGUUUGGUCCAAGUAAUGAAGGCUGUAUAUGGUGAUGCUCAGUACAAUGCGAGCAAGCAGCCUAAAUGGGAGCUUUUUGCAAAGAAACCAACGUUUAUUAAGGUUCCACUUCAAGGGGCGAAUGAAUGUGGCCAUUAUACUCUGAAGUAUGUGAGAUCCUGUGAUGGUGAAAAGAUCGUUGAGAACAUUCGAAAUAAAGAUCCUCGUAUUGUUGAUUGGAACUCUGAGGAUCUGUAUAGAGUUGUGUUCAAUCGGAAUAACUAG